Molecule: small nuclear RNA, 116 nt
Filed under: Sinocyclocheilus anshuiensis
Lineage: Eukaryota; Metazoa; Chordata; Actinopteri; Cypriniformes; Cyprinidae
Description: U5 spliceosomal RNA (ENSSANG00000019483.1)
Rfam family: U5 spliceosomal RNA
About the family: U5 RNA is a component of both types of known spliceosome. The precise function of this molecule is unknown, though it is known that the 5' loop is required for splice site selection and p220 binding, and that both the 3' stem-loop and the Sm site are important for Sm protein binding and cap methylation.
Source: Rfam by way of RNAcentral
AGCUCGAGUUUCUCUUCAUUAUCGCAUAAAUCUUUCUCCUUUUACUAAAGAUUUCCGUGGAUGGGACAUUUUUGUGAGUUACCUGUAUUUUUGGAGGCUCUGAUCACAGCAGAGCU